RNAcentral lists this small RNA (287 nucleotides) under Candidatus Azobacteroides pseudotrichonymphae genomovar. CFP2. RNAcentral's name for it is "5' ureB small RNA". It matches the Rfam family "5' ureB small RNA". Lineage: Bacteria; Pseudomonadati; Bacteroidota; Bacteroidia; Bacteroidales. The record is from Rfam by way of RNAcentral.
CCGCUUGCUGAGGACUGAUAUAAUGAACAUGGGUAUCAAUAGCUCCUGCCGUCAAAAUUCGUCCCUCCCCAGAAACAACCUCAGUAAUCGUGCCAAUAAUAAGAGUAGGAGAAACUCCAGGUUGAAUAUGAGGGUUCCCCGCUUUACCAAUGCCUUUUAUUUUUCCAUUUUUAAUUCCUAUAUCAGCUUUAUAUAUGCCCUUGUAAUCAAUAAUCAAAGCAUUGGUUAUCACCAUAUCCAAUACUUCCUCAUCACAAAAACCCGAUGCUUGUCCCAUACCAUCACGA